UACCUGGUUGAUGCCUGCGAGUAGUCAUAUGCGUUGUGCUCAAAAACUAAGCCAUGCACGUCUAAGUACAAACUAAAUGAUGGUGAAACUGCAAAUGGCUCAUUACAACGGUUAUGAUGUACCCGGGAGUUCCGAUGGAUAUUUCCAGUAACACUAGAACUAAUACAUGUCCCUGCGUUUAUUAGUUUCGCACAGUCCGUCGCUGAGUCAUGGUAAACAGUUGAUCGACUCGACGUCCCGGAACAGUUUCCGCCCCAUCAGCUUCGAUGGUUGGGUAUUGGCCUACCAUUGCAACAACGGGUAACGAGGAAUUAGGGUUUGAUUUCGGAGAGGGAGCCUGAGAAACGGCUACCACAUCUACGGAUGGCAGCAGGCGCGCAAAUUACCCAAUGCAGACACUGUGAGGUAGUGACGAGAAAUAAUAAAGCGGGACUUCUGUUUCGCUAUUAUAAUGAGGAAUAACCAAAGGUCAUUCCGAUUAGCAACUGAUGGGAAAGUCUGGUGCCAGCAGCCGCGGUAAUACCAGCGUCAGUAGCAUAUAUUAAAAUUGUUGCAGUUAAAACGUCCGUAGUCUGUACGUCGUCCCAAACUCACUGCAGUCUUCCGUUUUCUUAAUUGAAUGCGGUAGUUUCUGCAGUCACUCCCUUGAUCAAAUUAGGUUGUUCAAGGUAGACCAAGUCUUCAUAUUUUCACAUGGAAUUGGGUGAGGGAACUUAAGAGUUUAAGUUUCUCGUCUUAGGAUCAUCCGGGGUCAUUCGUACUCGUCCGCGAGAGGUGAAAUUCUUGGACCGGACGAAGACGACCAGCAGCGAAAGCAUCUGUCAGGGAUGUUUUCUGCGACAAAGGACGAAGGUCAGGGUAUUGAAGACGAUUAGAUACCGUCGUAGUCCUGACUGUAAACUAUGCCAACUUGGGUCUUGCUGGGCGAUGCUUUGUGAGACCCACACAGAAAUGAAAGUGUAUGGGUUCUGGGGGUAGUAUGGACACAAGUCUGAAACUUGAAGGAAUUGACGGAAGAGCACCAUAAGACGUGGAGCUUGCGGCUUAAUUUGACUCAACGCGGGAAAACUUACCAGGUCAAGACAUGGGCGUGAUUGACAGGCUAAUGACUUUUCUCGAUUCCAUGGAUGGUGGUGCAUGGUCGCUGGUCGCACUUAGUUGGUGCAGUGAUUUGUCAGGUUUAUUCCGGUAACGAACGAGACCUCGGCCUUGUAAAUAGCUAUGCUGCUUACAGGGACAUUGGCGGAUACGCCAAGGAAGCUCGAGGCAAUUGCAGAUCUGGAAUGCCCUUAGAUGUCCUGGGUCGCACGCGUGCUACAAUGACGCCACGAACGAGCUUGCAUGAUGAAAGUUAUGCAUAAUCAGCAGUCGGCGUCUUAAGGGAUAGUCUCUUGUAACUGUGGGACUCCAACUAGGAAUGUCUCGUAAGCACAAGUCAACAUCUUGUGUUGAUUACGUCCCUGCUCUUUGUACACACCGCCCGUCGCUCCUACCGAUUGAGUGAUCCGGUGAAUAAUUCGGACUGCAGCAGUGUUCGGUUCCUGAGCGUUGCAGUGGAAAGUCUAGUGAACCUUAUCACUUAGAGGAAGGAGAAGUCGUAACAAGGUUUCCGUAGGUGAACCUGCAGAAGGAUC
This 1634-nucleotide ribosomal RNA is filed under the name uncultured eukaryote. RNAcentral's name for it is "SSU rRNA". It matches the Rfam family "Eukaryotic small subunit ribosomal RNA". The record is from RNAcentral.